GGGCGGGUGGUGAAAUGGUAGACACGCCAGUUUUAGGAACUGGUGCCGCAAGGCAUGGAGGUUCAAGUCCUCUCCCGCCCA
This 81-nucleotide transfer RNA is filed under the name bacterium. Its description in RNAcentral is "tRNA-Leu". It matches the Rfam family "tRNA". From Rfam's summary of the family: Transfer RNA (tRNA) molecules are approximately 80 nucleotides in length. Their secondary structure includes four short double-helical elements and three loops (D, anti-codon, and T loops). The record is from RNAcentral.